CUCUAAUAUAAGCACAAAUUUUUUAUUUAUCACCCCUCCUUUGUGUAUUUUUUUUACAAUAGAUAGGGCAUCUCCUUCAAUUUCGACUGUCGUAAACCCCAGAUCCAGGCCCAGUUGAAGGCAUGCAAUAGCCUCGACUGCGAACACCAAGGCUCAAGAUCCUAAAGGAGAGGAGUCCAACAAGGGAAAAUCGAAGGUCAUCGAGUAACCGACUUGGAACUAUUUACCCAACACAAGAUAUCUCUGACCAUUUUGCGUACUUGGGACCAUCGUCGAAGUCAUCACAAUGGCUUGCAACUUUUUGGUACCCUCUUCUUAGUUGGCCUAAGAGAACAUUUCGACAUGUAUAGGCUAUUAUGUUUUGUUUGAACCCCAAUAUGUAAACUUUUAGCCAUGCGAAUAUGGCUUAAAUGCUAAGUUUGAAUUUAGCCUUAUGGGUGCUUAGUUAUAAGGUUCAGUAGAUUUGGCCUUGAUAAUUCGGUUUUGAUGGAGUAGUAGUCUAAGUCUAUUUGAUUAUUAUGCCGUAUGCCAUGGCUUAUCAUAUUUGGUGUUAUGUAUGUCAAAUUACUAGCUAAUCCAUGGAAACCAUAAAAUAGAUUUAGACAGCAGUAGUGGUGUGAAUUUGAAAAAUCACUAAAAAUAGUAAAAAUGGAAUUAAAUAAUGAAUAAAUUAUGGAAUCGAAUCUUGAUGAGUCUAUUUUCAUAUAGAAGAAGUAAAACAGAUAUAUGAGCUAUAUUGUGUGAGAUAUUUAAAAUUUUGUGAAACAGGGCCAGAACGAUUUCUGGAUCCCCUGUUCUGACUUUGGAAAUUUACCAUAAAUUUUACAAAGAUAAUUAGAAGUCAUGCUUUAUAUGUACAGAUUCUUUAUUGAGUCUAGUUUUAUUAGAGACAAACGGCAUAGUCAUUGAAUCUCUAUACAGGGAGAUAUCUGAUUUGUAAUACAUAGAGGUCAGAGUAGUCGAAUCCUGAAACAGGGGAGACUUUAACUAAUAAACUGUACUAAUUGGACCGACCAAAAAUUCUGGAAAAAUUUGAGUAGAUAGAUAUAUGAGUCUAGUUUCAGGAAAAAUUUACGGAAUUGGAUUUCGAGUUUCAGAACUCGAGAUAUGAUUUUUAAAGCAACUGUGAUGCAGUUACCCAGCUUGUCUAGAAAAUUUUAAAAUGAAUUGCAUGAGCUGUUUAAGUAAUAAAUUAAACCCGUUUACACCUUGUGUUCGACUCCGGCAACGGUCUCGAGUACGGGGUGUUAUAGAUAUACUGGAACUUGUGUAAGACUAUGUCGGGGACAUGAAGUCGAUGUCUGACCCCAUAUUUGAGGCUAAAUGAAUAUCCGAUAAUGUUCAAUAUACUUCAAUGGUGAAAGAAUGAUUUAAAGUUAACUAGAAAAUUAUAACCGUGUUGUGAGUGGUACAGGUACCCAUAUGGUAUGUAUGAAAUGUGAGCUCAAUAUAUGCUAUAUGAGGUGUAAUGAAUAUUGAUGAUGCCGCCUAUCUAACUCAAGGAUCAACGAAAGUCAAAGAUAUCGAUCGCACUAUCAAUCGAAGCUUUUGGUAUAGUUUGAUUUAUAUUUUUAAAUAUGGCUUGUAUAGGGCUUAGACUUUGCUAUUUUUGUGUCAUUGAAAACUGGCCAAAUGUGUUGGCUUGGGUUGGGAACCCUUCAUUUCGUAUUAAGCCUUGAAUAAUGGCUAAUAUUCAUUUUGAUUUAUAUGUAAAGAUGUUAUUUUCAUAGAUAAGUAAAAUGCACAAAUGGAAUGUUGUUUAUA
Gossypium arboreum is the source of this 1764-nucleotide long non-coding RNA. RefSeq lists it as uncharacterized. The record is from RefSeq and is a predicted model, not a curated record. The transcript has 4 exons. Lineage: Eukaryota; Viridiplantae; Streptophyta; Magnoliopsida; Malvales; Malvaceae.